RNAcentral lists this ribosomal RNA (254 nucleotides) under uncultured bacterium. Its description in RNAcentral is "partial 16S ribosomal RNA". It matches the Rfam family "Bacterial small subunit ribosomal RNA", at positions 524 to 776 of the family's 1533-position model. The record is from RNAcentral.
GACAGAGGGUGCAAACGUUGUUCGGAAUUACUGGGCGUAAAGGGCGCGCAGGCGGCUGCUCAAGUCAGGCGUGAAAGGCCUGGGCUCAACCCGGGAAUUGCGCUUGAGACUGGGCUGGCUUGAGUGCGGGAGAGGAUGGUGGAAUUCCCAGUGUAGAGGUGAAAUUCGUAGAUAUUGGGAAGAACACCGGUGGCGAAGGCGGCCAUCUGGACCGCAACUGACGCUGAGGCGCGAAAGCGUGGGGAGCAAACGGG